Molecule: ribosomal RNA, 239 nt
Filed under: uncultured bacterium
Lineage: Bacteria
Description: partial 16S ribosomal RNA
Rfam family: Bacterial small subunit ribosomal RNA
Source: RNAcentral
CAGAGUUGAUCAUGGCUCAGGAUGAACGCUGGCGGCGUGCUUAACACAUGCAAGUCGAACGAAGCACUUUAUUACAAUUUCUUCGGAAUGACGAUUAGUGACUGAGUGGCGGACGGGUGAGUAACGCGUGGGUAACCUGCCUUAUACAGGGGGAUAACAGUUAGAAAUGACUGCUAAUACCGCAUAAGCGCACAGGAUUGCAUGAUCUGGUGUGAAAAACUCCGGUGGUAUAAGAUGGA